GAUGAACGCUGGCGGCGUGCCUAAUACAUGCAAGUCGAGCGAACAGACGAGGAGCUUGCUCCUCUGACGUUAGCGGCGGACGGGUGAGUAACACGUGGAUAACCUACCUAUAAGACUGGGAUAACUUCGGGAAACCGGAUCUAAUACCGGAUAAUAUAUUGAACCGCAUGGUUCAAUAGUGAAAGACGGUUUUGCUGUCACUUAUAGAUGGAUCCGCGCCGCAUUAGCUAGUUGGUAAGGUAACGGCUUACCAAGGCAACGAUGCGUAGCCGACCUGAGAGGGUGAUCGGCCACACUGGAACUGAGACACGGUCCAGACUCCUACGGGAGGCAGCAGUAGGGAAUCUUCCGCAAUGGGCGAAAGCCUGACGGAGCAACGCCGCGUGAAUGAUGAAGGUCUUCGGAUCGUAAAACUCUGUUAUUAGGGAAGAACAAAUGUGUAAGUAACUAUGCACGUCUUGACGGUACCUAAUCAGAAAGCCACGGCUAACUACGUG
RNAcentral lists this ribosomal RNA (497 nucleotides) under uncultured bacterium. RNAcentral describes it as "partial 16S ribosomal RNA". It matches the Rfam family "Bacterial small subunit ribosomal RNA", at positions 28 to 507 of the family's 1533-position model. The record is from RNAcentral.